GCGACGUCGCCCCUGUGCUGGAACCCUACAAUGUCUGUGGGGGACCAGCACCCAGUUUUCUGGUCCACAGAUUAGGUGGUGGCGGUCUCAGGCUUUGAUGCUNGGGAUCAAGAUAUAAUCGGUCUCCAUAGCCAUGACUGUGGUUGCGAAACGUUCC
This 157-nucleotide ribosomal RNA is filed under the name Verrucaria hunsrueckensis. Its description in RNAcentral is "partial 18S small subunit ribosomal RNA". Lineage: Eukaryota; Fungi; Ascomycota; Eurotiomycetes; Verrucariales; Verrucariaceae. The record is from RNAcentral.